GGCAGAUCUGUAGGCUGAGUAAAAACUUUUUUCUGACUCUGGCAGUUUCUCUUGAUAGUUAUCAGUCACUCCUGCCUAGGAAUCUCAUUUGUAGCCUUCAGUUUUACUUAUUCUUGGUGUGGCUAACACAGGUGUACAUGCUAAGUUACAGUAAAGUAACUAUUGUUUUUUUCUUUUAAAUUCCCAGGGAUGACAGUGCUUUGGUUAUAAUUGUUUUACUAGAUAGUUAAGAUCAAGAUGGUGAAAUUGAACUUGUUCCUACCUGUUGUCAAGAGUCAGCUGAGUUACCAUUAGGGUCAUUCUUAGGGAACUUCAGAACAGCUUCUUAGUUCUUUUAGUGCGGUCUGCUGGGUGUCAGUGUCCCUUGAUGAUAUGGCUUCCUUGGAAGCAUCGGGAUGUCUCCCUUCUCCAGUGACCCUCCUCUUUGCAGUAAGUGCACUGGCUGGCUUUUGGGGGGUUUUCAAGUGUCUCAGUGACUGGAGGUUAUGUGGCCCAGAGUUGCAAAGAUCUUGGAGAAGUUCCCUGGUUCCCUGGUUUUAAGCUGACUCAGAGGGCAAGAGCCAAAAAUAUUGGUGUUCUUGGCCCUGUUACUUUAACCUUAAUCUUUAAGCCUUGGUCUUAAACAUCCACGAAGCCCAUCUCACCAUUCUUAAAGUAACAGUGCUGGGCUUUAAUUUUAAUGCUAAUAAUUUCAUAGUCAUUUUACUCCUUUUAUUUAAUUGGGGUCUGUAUUAGUACUUUAAGUUAGCAUUAUAUACUAUCUGUCUGUAGUCGAUGGCCUAAUAUCUCAAAUUCACUUAGGUUGUUAUAUAUUUGUUCUUCUGUAAGUCACUAACAAAUAACAUUUAAAGUUUCCAAGGAAAAUUCAAAAUGAAAUUAAACGAGUAAAAACAUGUUGAGUUUGUACAUAAUCUUGACCCUUGGCUGAGUUAUACAUUAUAUCCCCUGUUUGAUAUCAUAGUAUUCUUUUGGGAGGGAGUACUGGGUAUUAAACUCAGGGGUACUCAACCACUGAGCCACAUCCCUAGCUCUAUCUUGUAUUUUACUAGAGACAGUAUUUCACUGAGUUGUUUAAUGCCUUGAUAAAUUGCUGCGGCUGACUUUGAACUUGCAAUCCUCCUGCCUCCACCUCCUGAGCCCCUGAGAUUACAGGUGUGCACGACCAUGUCAGGCCAAAACUCAGUGGUCAUAACAACAAAAAACAAUCUUGAACACAACUUUAAGUGAACUGGAG
RNAcentral lists this long non-coding RNA (1234 nucleotides) under Marmota monax (woodchuck). Lineage: Eukaryota; Metazoa; Chordata; Mammalia; Rodentia; Sciuridae. The record is from RNAcentral.